CCAGGCCUUCCCUGGCCAGCGUGACCUACUUUCCUGGCUGAGUGACACUGAGGGGAAAAUGGUCGGUGACGGGCAGCCCUGCUCUGCGUGCAGCCAGCGGGGAGGGUGACCAGUGCCCUCGCAGCCAGCCAAGAACUGUGAAGAAAGAAGACAGCAGAGGAAAGUCUAGGCCUCUCCUGUCCAGAUACUCAGCGUGGGGACACCAGGCCCACGGACGUCACCUCUCGGCUCAGCCCGGGGUGACCAACCAGAGCCCAGGGUCCCCGGUGAUUUGGAGCAGGAGGACAACUCCAAGCCGGGAGCCACGGGAGCACAGCCACGCCCAGAGGCCCCUCCGUGCCUGCGGGAAACAACCAGCAGCAAACACCGGGCUCACAGGCGC
This 382-nucleotide long non-coding RNA is filed under the name Heterocephalus glaber (naked mole-rat). Its description in RNAcentral is "lncRNA (ENSHGLG00100047449.1)". The record is from RNAcentral. Lineage: Eukaryota; Metazoa; Chordata; Mammalia; Rodentia; Bathyergidae.